CUGUCGUACCCUUUCACAUUGCUUAAUCUAUGCAUUCGACACCCCCUUGUUCAAUAAUGGAAAGGUCAGAGAAUCGAUUUUUUUCCGAAGUACGGCGGAGAGUGCCGGAAAAUUUUCCACUUCACACAUUUAAGAUCACGUGACCAUUUGAGUGUUUAUCAACAGCCAACAUUAUUUUUGGAGGGAAAGCCGUACCGAGAAGAUGGAAGGACUGGUGUUCCCUGAUAGGAAAGUAAGUUUGUUGAUUUUUACGGAUUGCGUCGAUUAAAUUCUUAAUUUAUUUUCCAGCUACCGGCCUGUGUUGUGUACCUGCUUAUUUUUACAGCCAGGUACGUACAUUUGCACGUGAUAAUUUUCUAUUAGAAAUGAUAUGCUAUUUUUAGCUGUUAUAGUGUUCAUUUAUUUAUGAUACAUAUGUUAUUUUAGGCGAUCUUUUUAGGUUUGAAAAGGGGUUGAGAAGUCGAUUUUAGAUCAAGCUGGCCAGCCGCGCGACGUUCCAUACAUCGGCGGUUUUUGUUUACAAAAUAUCUCCCGCGUGCUGUCAGAUGUAUAUUAUACAUGUACGAAUUUGGUGUAUAUAUUUCCUACCUCUCUUUACUAACAAAUAUACAAAUAAGUGAUAGUAGUAAAGUCAUUUAGUGAUAUGUAAAGUGGUACUGAAUUGUUGUUUUUUAGGGCAUUUCCUGCCAAAAUGUUUAUAGUAUUAGUGUUAUUUUAGUUGAUAUGUUAUGAAAUUAGAAAUUGGGCUGUGCUCGUCCAAUUGUUUUAAAAUGCGAUUCUGCCUGGCUUCGCGCUGCGUUUACUGGCGAUUUUAAAUGUGCAGAAAUUGCAUAAUACCUAUUUAAUAACUAUAAUUUAAAUUAUCACACCCACCUAUAAAAUAACCCUAAUGUGCUCUCCUUUUGUCCCUUCCUAUAUAAAAUGUCAAAAUGUUUAUAGAUUUCUUUUAUGUAUAAAAGUAUGUUAGUUUAAAUGAUAGAAAUGCGUUCAUGCUGGUCAAUGAUUUUAGAUGCGAGUCCGGUCAGUCUGUGUAAUCGCGCGCGUUUUUAGCUCGCCUCUUUUUUUUUGGAAAAAAAAGGUAGAGGUAUUGUUAUAGUCAGGUCAGCGUUGCCGUUGCCGUUUUGAUAUGAAUAUUUGUCUUUUAUCUUACCCACCUAUAAUAUAGCUAUAAUGUGUAUUCAUUCAUUCACCCAUUCCCCACUCUCUUUAGACCUGUUGUUUGAUGUAUAAGCCACUCCUUUUAAUGCUAUGUUUAUUACAGUUAGUUUAGUUUAGAAGUCUUGUAUAUAUUAUGAAACUGAUCAAUUAAUAUGUUUGUGUUUUAAUACCUAUAUUUUUUGUACUUGUAGAUCAGUACUUGGAAGCUCCCAGGUUCUUCAAAUUGUAAAAUUAUAAUAAUAUAUUCCCUUUGAAUAGAAGAGGUUGGAGGGUUAAAAUUAGAGUGGAUACACGAGGAUGUGGAUGGUUGUGCAAGAUUUGCAAAGUGUGUGUUGGUAUGAGGCAUGAGGCAGAAAUUGGAUCAAGGCUUUGCACCAAAUAUGAUGAUGGCUGUGUGUGUGUUGGUAUAAGGCAUGAUGGAGAAUUUGG
Molecule: long non-coding RNA, 1587 nt
Organism: Ruditapes philippinarum (Manila clam)
Lineage: Eukaryota; Metazoa; Mollusca; Bivalvia; Venerida; Veneridae
Exons: 2
Source: RefSeq, a predicted model, not a curated record